RNAcentral lists this transfer RNA (83 nucleotides) under Candidatus Wildermuthbacteria bacterium RIFCSPHIGHO2_12_FULL_40_12. Its description in RNAcentral is "tRNA-Tyr". It matches the Rfam family "tRNA". Rfam says of the family: Transfer RNA (tRNA) molecules are approximately 80 nucleotides in length. Lineage: Bacteria; Candidatus Wildermuthiibacteriota. The record is from RNAcentral.
GGGUGGUUGGCGGAGUAGCUAACGCAUCAGACUGUAAAUCUGACGGCCUUUGGCCUUCGGGGGUGCAAAUCCCUCACCACCCA